Molecule: ribosomal RNA, 253 nt
Filed under: uncultured bacterium
Lineage: Bacteria
Description: partial 16S ribosomal RNA
Rfam family: Bacterial small subunit ribosomal RNA
Source: RNAcentral
UACGUAGGGUCCGAGCGUUGUUCGGAAUUACUGGGCGUAAAGCGCGCGUAGGCGGCUAUCCAAGUCAGAGGUGAAAGCCCUGGGCUCAACCCAGGAAUUGCCUUUGAAACUGUUUAGCUUGAGUGUCGGAGGGGAUAGCGGAAUUCCUAAUGUAGAGGUGAAAUUCGUAGAUAUUAGGAGGAACACCGGUGGCGAAGGCGGCUAUCUGGACGACAACUGACGCUGAGGCGCGAAAGCACGGGGAUCAAACAGG